RNAcentral lists this ribosomal RNA (468 nucleotides) under uncultured bacterium. Its description in RNAcentral is "partial 16S ribosomal RNA". It matches the Rfam family "Bacterial small subunit ribosomal RNA", at positions 28 to 507 of the family's 1533-position model. The record is from RNAcentral.
GACGAACGCUGGCGGCGUGCUUAACACAUGCAAGUCGAACGGAAAGGCCCUGCUUUUGUGGGGUGCUCGAGUGGCGAACGGGUGAGUAACACGUGAGUAACCUGCCCUUGACUUUGGGAUAACUUCAGGAAACUGGGGCUAAUACCGGAUAGGAGCUCCUGCUGCAUGGUGGUGGUUGGAAAGUUUCGGCGGUUGGGGAUGGACUCGCGGCUUAUCAGCUUGUUGGUGGGGUAGUGGCUUACCAAGGCUUUGACGGGUAGCCGGCCUGAGAGGGUGACCGGCCACAUUGGGACUGAGAUACGGCCCAGACUCCUACGGGAGGCAGCAGUGGGGAAUAUGGCACAAUGGGCGGAAGCCUGAUGCAGCAACGCCGCGUGCGGGAUGACGGCCUUCGGGUUGUAAACCGCUUUCGCCUGUGACGAAGCGUGAGUGACGGUAAUGGGUAAAGAAGCACCGGCUAACUACGUG